RNAcentral lists this ribosomal RNA (1363 nucleotides) under metagenome. Its description in RNAcentral is "SSU rRNA". It matches the Rfam family "Eukaryotic small subunit ribosomal RNA". The record is from RNAcentral.
GGUUGAUUCUGCCUGACGUAUGCGCUUGUCUUGAAGAUUUAGCCAUGCAAGUUUGCAAAGCAUUUUGUGGAGCAACAGACAGCUCAGUAAUACAGUUAUAAUUAACUCGUGGUACAUAAUACGGAUAACCUUGGUAAACUAAGGCUAAUACGUGUUUGGGUUAAAUUUGGUGAGUCAACAGUAAUUGAGAGAAAUUCAACCGCGAUUAAGUUUCUGCCCUAUUAGCUUCGAUGGUAGGGUAAAGGCCUACCAUAGCGAUAACGGGUAACGGAAAAUCAGUGUUUGAUUCCGGAGAGGGAGCCUGAGAAAUAGCUCCCAUGUCCAAGGACGGCAGCAGGCGCGAAAAUUACCCAAUUCCUUAACGGGAGAGGUAGUGAAGAGACAUGAAGUUCUACUUAGAGACUGUACAAUAAAUUAGUAUAGGAUCUACUGGAGGGCAAGUCUGGUGCCAGCAGCCGCGGUAAUUCCAGCUCCAGUAGCGCAUAUGAUAGUUGCUGCAGUUAAAACGUCCGUAGUUGAUCACAAGAAAUACUUCAAGUCAAAUUGAAAUAUAUCUCGGUACUGUGAGUAAAAUAUAAUUCUCAAAGUAAUUUUUUGAAUAAUUUAGCAUGGUACAUAGUGAAUAUAGGAACAGAUGAUGGCAAUAGUAUUCAGUAGUUAGAGGUGAAAAUCGUUGACCUACUGAGGACUGUCUGAAGCGAAAGCGAUUGUCAAGUAUGUCUCCGUUAAUAAAGGACUUAAGCUAGAGUAUCGAAGAUGAUUAGAUACCGUCGUAGUUCUAGCUGUAAACGAUGCCAACUAGGUGAGGCCGAAAGGCUGCGCCUUAGGAGAAAUCAAAGUCUACGGGCUCUGGGGAUAGUAUUUUUGCAAGAUUGAAACUUAAAGAAAUUGACGGAAGAAUACCACAAGGAGUGGAGUGUGCGGCUUAAUUUGACCCAACGCGGGACAACUUACCAGGGCCGAUCUUAUGUGAGAUUGGCGAUUUGAGAAAAUCCCCAAGAUUAUAAGGGAGGUGGUGCAUGGCCGUUUUCAACACGUGGGGUGACCUGUCUGGUUAAUUCCGUAAACGCGUGAGGCCUAGAAACGAUAUUUUUAUAUUGUUUGACGGAUAGCGGCAAGCUAUAGGAAGUAAGGCUAUAACAGGUCGGUGAUGCCCCUAGAAGUUCUGGGCUGCACGCGCACUACAAUGGUACGAUGAACUUAUGUGCUGAGAAGUAUUUUUUAAUUCGUACCGAAGCUGGGAUAAUCUCUUGUAAAUGAGAUUUGAACGCGGAAUUCCUAGUAAUCGCAAGUCAUUAUGUUGCGAUGAAUGCGUCCCUGUUCUUUGUACACACCGCCCGUCAAUAUCUAAGAUGGAUGUAUU